AGUGAACGCUGGCGGUAGGCCUAACACAUGCAAGUCGAACGGCAGCACAGUAAGAGCUUGCUCUUACGGGUGGCGAGUGGCGGACGGGUGAGGAAUACAUCGGAAUCUACUUUUUCGUGGGGGAUAACGUAGGGAAACUUACGCUAAUACCGCAUACGACCUACGGGUGAAAGCAGGGGAUCUUCGGACCUUGCGCGAUUGAAUGAGCCGAUGUCGGAUUAGCUAGGUGGCGGGGUAAAGGCCCACCAAGGCGACGAUCCGUAGCUGGUCUGAGAGGAUGAUCAGCCACACUGGAACUGAGACACGGUCCAGACUCCUACGGGAGGCAGCAGUGGGGAAUAUUGGACAAUGGGGGCAAGCCUGAUACAGCCCUACCGCGUGGGUGAAGAAGGACUUCGGGUUGUAAAGCCCUUUUGUUGGGAAAGAAAAGCAGCAGGUUAAUACCCCGCUGUUCUGACGGUACCCAAAGAAUAAGCACCGGCUAACUUCGUG
RNAcentral lists this ribosomal RNA (492 nucleotides) under uncultured bacterium. RNAcentral describes it as "partial 16S ribosomal RNA". It matches the Rfam family "Bacterial small subunit ribosomal RNA", at positions 29 to 507 of the family's 1533-position model. The record is from RNAcentral.